Molecule: non-coding RNA, 93 nt
Organism: Acanthosepion pharaonis
Lineage: Eukaryota; Metazoa; Mollusca; Cephalopoda; Sepiida; Sepiidae
Source: the annotation of a GenBank genome assembly
ACGACGCUUCGUUUACGAUCACUGAAAUUAAGCAAAGUCGAGCCUGGUCAGUACUGAGAUGAGUGACUGCUUGGGAAUACCAGAUGCUGUAAG